This is a long non-coding RNA of Lycium ferocissimum, 1179 nucleotides long. RefSeq lists it as uncharacterized. The transcript is spliced from 3 exons. The record is from RefSeq and is a predicted model, not a curated record. NCBI's taxonomy places the organism in Eukaryota, Viridiplantae, Streptophyta, Magnoliopsida, Solanales, Solanaceae.
AGAUGAUGCAACAAAUCAACUCAUUAGGAUGAGAGUCAUUUGUACCAAGUCCAGGGCCUUAUGUUCGAGAGGUGGUAUUAGAAUUUUAUGCAAAUAUGAAUGCUCAAGAAGAAACUUCAAGAGUUCAAUAUCCGAGUAGUGGCAGAUUUGUGCAGGCUUGUAUCCAACACCGGAAUUUCCUCUGUCGGCUCCAUUACCACCAACAACACUCAAUAUGCAUAAAGAAGGUGGGUCAAAUAAAAUUUUCAUACCAUUUAGCAUGUAGCCUCUCUCCAUGUGGUCAGAUGUUGUCACAAUUCCAGAAAUGAAUACUGCAAAUCCUGCUAAUUUCUAUGGCGAAGGACCCUCCGUUCCUCCCGAAAAUCAGGGAAAUGAAAACUUUGAUGCUGCAUUUAACUUUCUCACUGGUGAAGGUACUGGAACAUGUAGUCAUUGAAACUUGAAUUAUUGAAAAUGAAUAAUUUAAGUGUGGGGAUGGUAAAAACUCUACUCUACUUUUUCUAUGUGAUAAUCUUAUGGUCUACUUUAUGUAGUUGGAAAUGUUGGUAGUCCUUUUUGGUGCUGGUUGUUUUUGAAAAUGUUGGUGAUGUGUUGAUGUUAGUUGAAAGAAGAAGAAGAUUUUUUGGUUGGCAACAGGUAACAUCUUUUUUGAAAAUAGCCAUAAGAGGAAGCUUGUACAUUGUUUAACCUUAUGGUUAGUAUGUUGGUGCUAGUUGAAAGAAGAAAGAAACGCUUGAUUGGCAGCAUGUAACAUCUUUUUGCUGUAAAUAGCCAUAAAAGGCAGCUUGUACCUGUUUGUUUUAGUGUGAAAAUGUCAAAUGACAAACCUUGUAAUGAAUGUUUAACUGCAUGUUCAUUUAGAAGUACCAAAACAACAUGCAGUUAAACAUUCAUUACAAGGUUUGUCAUUUGACAUUUUCACACUAAAACAAACAGGUACAAGCUGCCUUUUAUGGCUAUUUACAGCAAAAAAAGAUGUUACAUGCUGCCAAUCAAGCGUUUCUUUCUUCUUUCAACUAGCACCAACAUACUAACCAUAAGGUUAAACAAUGUACAAGCUUCUCUUAUGGCUAUUUUCAAAAAAGAUGUUACCUGUUGCCAACCAAAAAAUCUUCUUCUUUCAACUAACAUCAACACAUCACCAACAUUUUCAAAAACAACCAGCACCAAAAAGGACUA